UGGGCCAGUGAUGACAAUGGCUUGCGGCGUAUGAGUCACAGACGGUGAAUACAGCUCUGGAAGUCUGAGGUCCAG
This is a small nucleolar RNA of Lemur catta (Ring-tailed lemur), 75 nucleotides long. RefSeq annotates it as small nucleolar RNA SNORD113/SNORD114 family. The record is from RefSeq and is a predicted model, not a curated record. NCBI's taxonomy places the organism in Eukaryota, Metazoa, Chordata, Mammalia, Primates, Lemuridae. The transcript has a single exon.